CAGCAGCCGCGGGAAAACGUAGGUGGCAAGCGUUGUCCGGAAUUAUUGGGCGUAAAGGGCUCGCAGGCGGUUUCUUAAGUCUGAUGUGAAAGCCCCCGGCUCAACCGGGGAGGGUCAUUGGAAACUGGGAAACUUGAGUGCAGAAGAGGAGAGUGGAAUUCCACGUGUAGCGGUGAAAUGUGUAGAGAUGUGGAGGAACACCAGUGGCGAAGGCGACUCUCUGGUCUGUAACUGACGCUGAGGAGCGAAAGCGUGGGGAGCGAACAGGAUUAGAUACCCGUGUAGUCCCUGUCUCUUAUAC
This 301-nucleotide ribosomal RNA is filed under the name uncultured bacterium. RNAcentral's name for it is "partial 16S ribosomal RNA". It matches the Rfam family "Bacterial small subunit ribosomal RNA", at positions 509 to 807 of the family's 1533-position model. The record is from RNAcentral.